CCUUUAUAUAGGAAUUUAUUUAGUCGUCCCAUUAUCGACUUAAACCUUAAUUAAGGUUUAUGCAUAAUUUCGGCCCACAUACUUGAAAUUACAACAUUAUAUCAAAUAAAGCCUGUAAGGUGUAAAACAGCCCAAAUUAAUCAUUUAACAUAAUUGGUCUAAUCAUAAUGUCAUUGUGAGUCAUACAUCUAACCUGUAAAAUUUUACAAUCGAAUGUGAAUCCUAUAUUUGAAAGUAUUCCAACAGAUCCAUCUUCUUUCAGUCCAGCUUCGAGCUUCAUUUUACCGACAUAUCUUAUAGCUUCAGCUUCAUGUAAACCUAUAACCCAACCCAUUACAUAGGAAGGUAUGAGCACUUUGGUUUAGUACACCCUGCUUAGUCAAAACACCUUGCCACGUAAAGGUCCAUCAUCUCCAUCUUCUAUUCGAGCUUUGUCUGAACGUAAAGGUCCAUCUUCUUUCAGUCCAGCUUCGAGCUUCAUCUGAAUGACCCAUAUUUCAGCUCCAACUUAAUGUAAACGUAUAAGCCAACAAAUUACACAGGAGUAUGAGCACUUUGUUUUAGUACAUUGUUUUAAUUUCUAAAAUUUUUAUGAUAUAGGUUAUGCAUCAUCCAAAAUUCAAUGCAUACAUGAAACCAUACAUUUCUAUGUUUUCCGUCAGAUUGAGGAUAGUGAAUUUUGGAACAAUGAUCAUGCUGUAGAUGUUAAAUAUAAGUGAAAUUUCAAAAUUGAUAUUUUUAAUUGACUUAUUCUGUAAUUGAUUUUCAGCUCAUGAGAAGGAAUGAAGGCUAAACAAAUCCAUGCAUCUACAUUCAAAAGCAUGAUUUGUAUCGGUAUGUAUUUGUACAAUGUUAAUGUUUUGCUAAACUUAAAUACUUAUAUUUUUCGCAGCUAAAGAAAUCAUGGAUGAC
This 912-nucleotide long non-coding RNA is filed under the name Olea europaea subsp. europaea. Lineage: Eukaryota; Viridiplantae; Streptophyta; Magnoliopsida; Lamiales; Oleaceae. The record is from RNAcentral.